Molecule: ribosomal RNA, 776 nt
Filed under: Haloferax sp. PA13
Lineage: Archaea; Methanobacteriati; Methanobacteriota; Halobacteria; Halobacteriales; Haloferacaceae
Description: bacterial SSU rRNA
Rfam family: Archaeal small subunit ribosomal RNA
Source: RNAcentral
CAUGCUAGUUGCACGAGCUUACACUCGUGGCGAAAGCUCAGUAACACGUGGUCAAACUACCCUACAGAGAACGAUAACCUCGGGAAACUGAGGCUAAUAGUUCAUACGGGAGUCAUGCUUGAAUGCCGACUCCCCGAAACGCUCCGGCGCUGUAGGAUGUGACUGCGGCCGAUUAGGUAGACGGUGGGGUAACGGCCCACCGUGCCGAUAAUCGGUACGGGUUGUGAGAGCAAGAACCCGGAGACGGAAUCUGAGACAAGAUUCCGGGCCCUACGGGGCGCAGCAGGCGCGAAACCUUUACACUGCACGCAAGUGCGAUAAGGGGACCCCAAGUGCGAGGGCAUAUAGUCCUCGCUUUUCUCGACUGUAAGGCGGUCGAGGAAUAAGAGCUGGGCAAGACCGGUGCCAGCCGCCGCGGUAAUACCGGCAGCUCAAGUGAUGACCGAUAUUAUUGGGCCUAAAGCGUCCGUAGCCGGCCAUGAAGGUUCAUCGGGAAAUCCGCCAGCUCAACUGGCGGGCGUCCGGUGAAAACCACAUGGCUUGGGACCGGAAGGCUCGAGGGGUACGUCCGGGGUAGGAGUGAAAUCCCGUAAUCCUGGACGGACCACCGAUGGCGAAAGCACCUCGAGAAGACGGAUCCGACGGUGAGGGACGAAAGCUAGGGUCUCGAACCGGAUUAGAUACCCGGGUAGUCCUAGCUGUAAACGAUGCUCGCUAGGUGUGGCACAGGGCUACGAGCCCUGUGCUGUGCCGUAAGGAAGCCGUGAAGCGAGCCG